This 68-nucleotide transfer RNA is filed under the name Occidozyga martensii (round-tongued floating frog). RNAcentral's name for it is "tRNA-Val". It matches the Rfam family "tRNA". Rfam says of the family: Transfer RNA (tRNA) molecules are approximately 80 nucleotides in length. Their secondary structure includes four short double-helical elements and three loops (D, anti-codon, and T loops). The record is from RNAcentral. Lineage: Eukaryota; Metazoa; Chordata; Amphibia; Anura; Dicroglossidae.
CAAAAUGUAGCUUAAACAAAGCCUCUCGCUUACACCUAGAAGAUGUCUGCUAAUCCAGAUCAUUUUGA